RNAcentral lists this transfer RNA (95 nucleotides) under Fusarium oxysporum. Its description in RNAcentral is "transfer RNA-Ser(TGA)". It matches the Rfam family "tRNA". Rfam says of the family: Transfer RNA (tRNA) molecules are approximately 80 nucleotides in length. The record is from RNAcentral. Lineage: Eukaryota; Fungi; Ascomycota; Sordariomycetes; Hypocreales; Nectriaceae. RNAcentral also lists the same sequence under 10 other names.
GACAACGUGUCCGAGUGGUUAAGGAGAUAGACUUGAACUCUUAAUUCAGAUAUCUAUUGGCUUCGGCCUCGUAGGUUCGAAUCCUGCCGUUGUCG